GUGCCAGCAGCCGCGGUAAUACGUAGGGUGCGAGCGUUAAUCGGAAUUACUGGGCGUAAAGCGUGCGCAGGCGGUUCGUCAAGUCUGAUGUGAAAUCCCCGGGCUCAACCUGGGAACUGCAUUGGAUACUAGCGAGCUUGAGUGUGGCAGAGGGGGGUGGAAUUCCACGUGUAGCAGUGAAAUGCGUAGAGAUGUGGAGGAACACCGAUGGCGAAGGCAGCCCCCUGGGCUAACACUGACGCUCAGGCACGAAAGCGUGGGGAGCAAACAGGAUUAGAUACCCCAGUAGUCC
Molecule: ribosomal RNA, 292 nt
Filed under: uncultured bacterium
Lineage: Bacteria
Description: partial 16S ribosomal RNA
Rfam family: Bacterial small subunit ribosomal RNA
Source: RNAcentral